This is a long non-coding RNA of Anguilla rostrata (American eel), 4046 nucleotides long. RefSeq lists it as uncharacterized. Lineage: Eukaryota; Metazoa; Chordata; Actinopteri; Anguilliformes; Anguillidae. The transcript has 5 exons. The record is from RefSeq and is a predicted model, not a curated record.
UUGCGUUAACUAAUCAGCCCAGGUGCUUAAAUGUGUGUUGCUCUGCACAGGUGGGGCUGAGGAAACGAAAGCGAACUGCCAAUGAAAAGUAGUAAGCGUUGGUCCGCUGGAGCCACCUACAAGCGGGGAACUGAAAAGUAAACUAACUUUUAGUUUAUUGUUUUUGCCCGGAACCCGUGAGGGGGAAAGGUGAAGGUGUUUUGUGUUUUGAGUGGGUGCGCUCUCUCUCUCCAAGUUUCCAUACGGCAAUCAACGGUGUUUCCCCGAACUGCUGCAUCUCCCUCCCAUGGGUGUCAUACUGGUGUGUGACAAAUGGGAAAUGAACAUGAAGGAUUUCUGUGGCUGGCCUACGCAGAAUUUCAAACGGUGGAGAUACAUAAGAUUCCCCAGAACAGUAUUUCUUUUGGAAUGAAGCAGAUGGAGUGUACUGUGCUCCAGGAUAGUCUUUCCUGUUCUCUGUUAUUGAACAGGAAGAGAGAAGAACAUUUGGUAUGGAAUCUGGAAGGAGUAAGGGGACCGAGAGCUGAGUAAGAAUAAGCGCAGGCCACUGCUGGAAUAGCCGCUGUUUGAAUGGCUUAGCGCAGGAGGGGAUGUGUACAGCUCACGUCCGCAGUCGUCUCCCGCGUGCUCGGACACCAGCAGAACCUGGAGACCUCCUCCUUGGAGCUGCCCUCCGCAUACUCUUACCAGGCUUACAGAACCAGCAGCCAAUCUGCAAGCCAGGAAGGUGGCCAAAGUCAAAGGUCGAGAGACACCUGCGCUUAAAUGUAGGACUGGGAUUUCAAACUGUCACUUCCUGUCACUUCCUGCACAUUUGUAAAAUUCUUUUUUGGUUCCCCGAGCUGUAGGCAGUGACCAAAUAGUGUCUAUUUCUUUCUCAAAAUGAAAGGAACAAUUUAAUAAUGCUGGGUGUACCACACAAUCCAAACAGUAAUGAGGACAGACUAUAGUCCUUAGAGGAAACAGACCACGUUAGGUGUCCUUCCUUUAACGUCUUGCCAUGUUCGAGUGGAGGAGGACUCAGUGGAUGUGAACACUAAACUCUGCAAUCUGCUCGGCCUGAAUGACAGUCUGCUCUCCAGCCUUUAUUAGUGCCAGAACCGGUCCUCUCUGCAUCCCGGUCUCAGAUACUCACAUAGCAAACACGAAUGUGUAUUCAGUACACCGUUCCAGUUUUCCAGAUCUGAAAUGACAGUAUAAUUAGUUUAACACGCUAGGAUUAUUUCCAGUUCAUAUUAGUAAGAUUCAGUUAAAAGGCAGUGAAGAACACCCACAGUGCCUCUAUGACAGUUGCGCAGCAGGUCGAUGGGCCCAUGCUGUGGAGAUCCAUAAUGGAGGCAAAUGCACAUAUAUCUAAAUAAUUCGGUAUGCUCAUGACCAUGGUCAGAGUGGAUGAUGAUGGGGGGGGGGGAAGGAGAGGUCCUGUUCUGGAUCAUGCCACUGUGACGUUUUUCGGAGGCUGACCACCAGUCCCUCUCCCCUCCACCCCCCCCACGGACACCCACCAGCCUCGACAUCUGAAUUCAGCGAAAUAACCGCAGGAGUGUUCCAAAUCGAUGGUGCAGCAUUACCAUAGAAAUGAAAGUGGCACGAAUCAUUAAACUCCCUCGCAUACAACUAAUUACAACUAAAAUGGUAAAAUAUUGAAAAUUCAGGAAUACAAGAAUAUAAAAUCAAUGACUAAAUAGCAUUGCAUAAACCAUAUAGGUAUAGAGUAUAAAAUGAGUUUGCAAAUAUUAAAAAGUUAAUGUGGAAAUUACAAAAAGUUCAUUUUCCACAAUUGUAACUGGCCUGGGAUCAGUAUACUUUUUCUCCAGUAGAAUUUGCCACCUCACAUGCACCAAUUCAAAAUAGAUCUUGAAGUAAAUCAUAAAAUGCAACAGCUGUUUUUUUUGGAAAUCGGCAUGACCACAUCAUGCAUCCUCUCUAUACCUUACAGAACACUUAUCAGUGCAAACCUAGAGGCGUUUUCUCAACGAGACAUACUAUGAUCGUGUCUGCAUUCACCAGUAUGAUGCUGUGAAUUCUCACCAGUACACAGGACUGCAUAAUUACACAUCAUUAGACUUUAACGCAUUGCUCGGCGUCCGUAAGCUUUCUGGAGGAACUUGUAUUUGCUCAGGAACUCCAUUUAAAUGGAAACAAGCUCUCAUUAAACUGCUAUACUCGAGUUGGCGUUGAUGCCAUUUCAGUUAAUCAGAACUCCACGGCUUUUGGUGUAAUUGCAUGGGUUUUAAAUCAACAUACUAUGCAGCACCCAGUUUUGAUUGCACCGACUGGCUGUCAUUUCCCAGUUUGAUUAGUUAGUGGAAUAUUUAACAAAUAGCAGGGCAAACCUAUUAUAUCAAUGCCACCCAGGAAAAGUAGCCAAGUGUUUACUCUAUUUAUGGGGGGGGGUGAAACAGGCUUCUCUUCCAUUUCAGUCUGUAUCAUUCCCCAUAGAUUACCACUUGCUGGCAUAAGCACGAAAAUAGAGUUCAGUCAAAUCUCGUACACAAUACGAAACGAUUCUCUUGUGUGCACCUCAGAGUGCUUUUACACAGGCCUCUGCACAAAAAAAGGUAAUCACACUCGGAGUGGCUUUUUACUAUCAGCCACUGUCCGCUAAAAUAGUGUGGCAAACACUUUCGAUACUUUUGACACUGUCACCUGGCAGGGGUAAUUACCCACAGGAAAAUAGACUCUGAGAGACCUAAUGGGAUUAGUGUUAUCACAUAAGAUUUUCUUCGACAGUAAAUGUUAACUGCCUCAAUUAAAGAUGCAAUGUGGCUCUGUGCCUAUAAGUGGUAUGCGUCACCUUCAGAAGAUCAAUACGAGCGUUCAUCCAAAGACAUUUCAUUUGUUUUACUGUAAUCACGGAUGGAAAUUUUAAUAGCUAAAUCUACACACUGCUGGAAUAAAAAAAAAAAAACAUUGUUGCUAGGCUUGGAACAUGUACAUCAGGCUUUGACAUUUUUCACAGCCAGCGGCACUGAAAGCUGAUGCCACUCUGCUCUCAAUUGAUCGCAUUCAGGUGCAAAUUCAGGUGCAAAUCAAAGCCUUACUGGGACUGACAUUUUCAGAAAUAAAUGCUUGUAGUCCAUUAGCUCAUGACAGCCAUUUUUUUUUGAAGAUUUUUUUUUUUCACAGUUUAGUUACAGGAAGUUCUGCAGUAUUGUAUGAGGGGGAAAAAAACAGCAUGUCAACCCACGUUCUUGAGAAAAAGAUCUUUAAAUCUUUCACAUGUCCUGAAAGAAAUAUUGGUCAAAUCAUGAAGAUGGAAAUAGAUUUUUUGAAAUAAUUUAAAAUGGAAGAAAAUUGAAUAUGCUACAUCCAGGUCCUUGAGACUAAGUAAUAAUAAUACUAAUAAUAAUUAUUAUAAUUAUAAUACCCACAGUUCUUGGACUCCCGAUUACUCAGAACAAUAAAAAGGACUAGUGGACAGUGGCAAUGCAACUGCUACGUUUUGACAUAGAUCUUCAUGCAGAAGUACCUCCAAAAAAAGUAUGUUGCUAUCUAUGUAUGCUCUUGAUAAUUGACUGCAUUUAUAUUGCUGCCAUAAUCGCCUAGUUUCCAGUGCUUAUUUUAGAACAUGCAUUCUACCCCUUCAUUACGCUGGAUAUUUAAUGAAUAUUUAAUUCACGCCUUUCUCAAGCGUGUGUGCAGCUGUGCCAAAUCCAGCAUUGUAUCUACCAGCUUCCAGUCUGCAGUCUUCAUUGUCUUGGUAGCAGCCGUACCACCCUGUACCCGUCUCAUGGCUAACUGCUGAAGCUAAGCAGCCAUACCACCCUGUACCCUUCUCAUGUCAAACUGUUGAAACUAAGUAGUCAUACCACCAUGUACCCGUCUCAUGGCUAACUGCUGAAGCUAAGCAGCCGUACCACCCUGUACCCGUCUCAUGGCUAACUGCUGAAGCUAAGCAGCUGUACCACCCUGUACCCGUCUCAUGGCUAACUGCUGAAGCUAAGCAGCCAUACCACCCUGUACCUGUCUCAUGGCUAACUGCUGAAGCUAAGCAGCCAUACCACCCUGUACCCGUCUCAUGGCUAACUGCUGAAGCUAAGCAG